CGGAUCAAGGGCACGUAGGCGGUGAAUCGGGUUGAAAGUGAAAGUUGCCAAAAAGUGGUGGAAUGCUCUCGAAACCAAUUCACUUGAGUGAGACAGAGGAGAGUGGAAUUUCGUGUGUAGGGGUGAAAUCCGUAAAUAUACGAAGGAACGCCAAAAGCGAAGGUAGCUCUUUGGGUCCCUACCGACGCUGGGGUGCGAAAGCAUGGGGAGCGAACAGGAUUAGAUACCCUGGUAGUCCAUGCCGUAAAAAUAUACUAACUAGACAAUCACUCAAGCUAAGUCCCG
Molecule: non-coding RNA, 285 nt
Filed under: Helianthus annuus (common sunflower)
Lineage: Eukaryota; Viridiplantae; Streptophyta; Magnoliopsida; Asterales; Asteraceae
Description: Bacterial small subunit ribosomal RNA
Rfam family: Bacterial small subunit ribosomal RNA
Source: Rfam by way of RNAcentral